AAUAAAGUUUUCCAUCUCUCUUAUUUACCUCUCUCUACAGAACGACCAGAUUCAACUCAACCACUAUUCAACUAUCAACUCCAAAUAAAAGGUUAUAUUUUGUUGACUGAGAUGAUGAUGGUUAUAUUUUGUUGACUAAGAUGAUGAUGAUGAUGGAUGCCCCGAUUCAACUCCACCACCACCGCUGCCAUACCCUUCUCUCUAUAUCAUUCUCUCUCUGACCCGAUUCAUCUCUCUCACGGUGGCGGUAAACAGAACGACCGUCGCUCCGGCGACGUGGUGACGAUGAUAAUGUUCAUUGAGAUGAAGAUGACGAUGGAUGCCCCGAUUCAACUCUACCACCACUGCCGCCAUACCCUUCUCUCUCUGACCCGAUCCGCCUCCCACAACCACGCUUGAAUUUCAAUUGAAGUUGUGCAUACAGUCAUUGGCGGUGAAGGCAAAAAUGGGAGGCAGUUGCAUCCAACUUGAAAUUAUUAAUUAUGAACUAUGGCUGGCUGGCUCGAACAUGCACAACAUAUACAUGCAUGGCAUGGUUCGGAUUAUCGGGCGAAUCCAAACGCACUCCACAUAUGGCUUUGUUUUGUUGUUAGAGCGUUGGUCUAAGCGAUUUGGUCCACUCCCCAGGACUUGGUCCGGAAGCUAAAGAUGGGCUCUACACACAAAAACAUUUUUAUUUCUAUAUGAAAAUUGUAAGGUGAGGUUAAGGAAAGAUGAUUGAUGUUGUGGGUAAAAUAAAGUUUUUUAGUAAGUUUGAAAACUCAUGUGGUAUGUUGAUGUGGAGUUUUGUGGGUUCUUGCAUUGUGAAUGCUCUUAAAUUAAGGAUCACACAAAUUCGUACAA
Helianthus annuus (common sunflower) is the source of this 843-nucleotide long non-coding RNA. RefSeq lists it as uncharacterized. The record is from RefSeq and is a predicted model, not a curated record. The transcript has 2 exons. Lineage: Eukaryota; Viridiplantae; Streptophyta; Magnoliopsida; Asterales; Asteraceae.